Molecule: small nuclear RNA, 107 nt
Organism: Mustela putorius furo (domestic ferret)
Lineage: Eukaryota; Metazoa; Chordata; Mammalia; Carnivora; Mustelidae
Source: Ensembl
UUGCUCACUUCAGCAGCACAUAUACUAAAAUUGGAACCAUACAGAGAAGAUUAACAUGGUCCCUGUGCAAGGAUGACACGCAAAUUCAUGAAGCAUUCCUUAAAAUA